This is a small nuclear RNA of Cercocebus atys (sooty mangabey), 100 nucleotides long. The record is from Ensembl. NCBI's taxonomy places the organism in Eukaryota, Metazoa, Chordata, Mammalia, Primates, Cercopithecidae.
UUGCUUUGGUAGCACAUAUACUAAAACUGGAACAAUAAAGACACGAAUAUGGCCCCUGUGCAAGGAUGACAUGCAAAUUUGUGAAAUGUUUCAUAUUUUU